GUGAUUAAAUCGAGCGUGUCUUCAUUGACCGCUCACCCUUCUCACCAUCCACAUACACCUGUGCACUGUUUAGCCUGAGCCGGUUUUCCGGUCCAGGGUUAUCAUUUCAUACAAACUCUAGUCUUAUGAAUGUAAACGUUUUUAAUAACAUAAUAA
This 156-nucleotide unclassified non-coding RNA is filed under the name soil metagenome. Its description in RNAcentral is "partial internal transcribed spacer 1". The record is from RNAcentral.